AAUGAACGCUGGCGGCAUGCCUAAUACAUGCAAGUCGAGCGAACGGACGAGAAGCUGGCUUCUCUGAUGUUAUCGGCGGACGGGUGAGUAACACGUGUAUAACCUACCUAUAAGACUGGGAUAACUUCGGGAAACCGUAUCUAAUACCGAAUGAUAUUUUGAACCUCAUUGUUCAAGAGUUGAAUACGGUCUUUCUGUCACUUAUAGAUGGAUCAGCCCUGCAUUAGGUAGUUGGUAAGGUGACGGCUUACCAAGGCAACGAUGCAUAGCCGACCUGAGAGCGUGAUCGCACACACUGGCACUGAGACAGGGUCCCGACUCCUACGGGAGGCAGCAGCAGGGACUCUUCCGGAAUGGGCGAAAGCCUGACGGAGCAAAGCCGCGUGAGUGAUGAAGGUCUUCGGCUCGUAAAACUAUGUUAUUCGGGAAGAACAUAUGUGUAAGUACCUGUGAACAUCUUGACGGUACCUAAUCAGAAAGCCACGGCUAACUCCGUG
This 497-nucleotide ribosomal RNA is filed under the name uncultured bacterium. Its description in RNAcentral is "partial 16S ribosomal RNA". It matches the Rfam family "Bacterial small subunit ribosomal RNA", at positions 29 to 507 of the family's 1533-position model. The record is from RNAcentral.